RNAcentral lists this ribosomal RNA (303 nucleotides) under uncultured bacterium. RNAcentral's name for it is "partial 16S ribosomal RNA". It matches the Rfam family "Bacterial small subunit ribosomal RNA", at positions 507 to 807 of the family's 1533-position model. The record is from RNAcentral.
AGCAGCCGCCGCGGUAAUACGAAGGGUGCAAGCGUUAAUCGGAAUUACUGGGCGUAAAGCGCACGUAGGCGGCUUGGUAAGUUAGAGGUGAAAGCCUGGAGCUCAACUCCAGAAUUGCCUUUAAGACUGCCGAGCUAGCAGGUGAGAGAGGUAAGUGGAAUUCCGAGUGUAGAGGUGAAAUUCGUAGAUAUUCGGAAGAACACCAGUGGCGAAGGCGGCUUACUGGCUCAUACUGGACGCUGAGGUGCGAAAGCGUGGGGAGCAAACAGGAUUAGAUACCCCAGUAGUCCCUGUCUCUUAUAC